ACCAGAGUUAUUCCACUUGUUGACGUAUAUUUUCAUUUCUUAAUUUUACGGAACCGUUGCAGGCAGUCCGACGAAUCUGAGAAAAGCUCCAGUGCUGAAGGAGGCCAUGCCUGCAAGUGUGGAUCAAACUGCACAUGUGACCCAUGCAACUGUUGAUGACAGAAUAUGGUUUAAGCCCUUCAAAGUAGCUAUGGAUGAUGUUGUGUGUACUAAACAUAAUAUAAUAAGACAGCCUUAAAUUGGACAAAUUCAUUUACUGGAUUUGUCUGGUGUGGUGUUUACUGGCUAUUAUCUCUGUAAUUGUGUCUGUAAUUUAUAUGUUUGCAGUUUGGUUACUGGCUUCAAUUUCUGUGUGAAGACUUGACAUCAAUAUAGCUCCUUUAUUGUUGUGUGAACUUUCAAUCAAUUACCUUAUCCUUUUAGGAGUACAGAUGUGUUGUCCUCAUGUUCGUGUCCCCUCGACCGUCUAGCC
RNAcentral lists this long non-coding RNA (472 nucleotides) under Olea europaea subsp. europaea. Lineage: Eukaryota; Viridiplantae; Streptophyta; Magnoliopsida; Lamiales; Oleaceae. The record is from RNAcentral.